RNAcentral lists this ribosomal RNA (224 nucleotides) under Klebsiella pneumoniae. Its description in RNAcentral is "partial 16S ribosomal RNA". It matches the Rfam family "Bacterial small subunit ribosomal RNA", at positions 1 to 219 of the family's 1533-position model. The record is from RNAcentral. Lineage: Bacteria; Pseudomonadati; Pseudomonadota; Gammaproteobacteria; Enterobacterales; Enterobacteriaceae.
ACUUAAAUUGAAGAGUUUGAUCAUGGCUCAGAUUGAACGCUGGCGGCAGGCCUAACACAUGCAAGUCGAGCGGUAGCACAGAGAGCUUGCUCUCGGGUGACGAGCGGCGGACGGGUGAGUAAUGUCUGGGAAACUGCCUGAUGGAGGGGGGUAACUACUGGAAACGGUAGCUAAUACCGCAUAACGUCGCAAGACCAAAGUGGGGGACCUUCGGGCCUCAUGCC